AAAAGGGUACUCAAAGAACUUGUAUACGCGUUAUAUUCCUUAAAGGAAAAAAGGCAUCGUUAGGGGCUUGGCUAAAACAUUAUCAGAGUUUGCAACGAAAGGCGUAACUGAAAUAAUCAGUGUUUACAGCGGAAAGCAUAACUGUGAUACAUGUAUGAAGACAUGUAUCCUUUCUGAGCCUACUUUAAGUUCGACAAAAACUCCACUCAGCAACACUUCAUCGCCCAUCACAGCUCAACCUGCACAAACAUAAACAACGAAGGGCUAAGUACAAGAGUACUUAGUGGGCAGUUGCCAAGCAUAUAACAUAACAUCAACAACAAAACACAACAUCGCAUAAGAGGCAUGAGUUUCUUUCAUAUCAUUUGUUCAUUAAACAUUUCCAAAUUCAUAAAUAGCAUAAGGGCAUUCUUCAUCAUCAAUCUUCAUUAACAAACAUCGUGUCGUGGAGAAGGCCUUCCCCAACGAACACGGGCAUCGCACCGUGAGGGGGAGCCUCCCUCAGCGGUCACGGCAUCGUACUAUUGAGGGAGGCCUCCCCCAAUAGACGCUGUAACACUGGCAUACUGGCAUACUGGCAUCGCGCCGCGAGAGAGGCCUCUCUCAGCGGACACUGGCAUCGCGCCGUGAGGAAGGCCCUCCUCAACGGACACGGCAUCGUACUGUUGAGGGAGGCCUCCCCCAACAGACGCAAGCAUCAAACAUAAGCAUAAACUUAUCAGCGUAAAGCAUUCAAGCGUAAAUAAGUGUAAUCAAGCGUAAAUUACAUAGGGCGUAAAUAGUAUAAACAGCAUAGCGUAAAUCAUUUAACGUGCAGCAUAAUAAAGCUUAACUCAUUUAAGCGUAAUAAAGCAUACCAUACUUGAAGAUCCAAUUUGCAUUUUAAAGCAUAACAUUUGCAUAGCAUUUUAUUUACGCGUAAGGAAUUGCCCACCUGAUAGCAAAGUUUUGCUAAAGUACUGUGACUCCUUGAGUAGUUCUUACUCUCGCGCUUGACCUUAAUCACGAGAAUAUAAAAUAAGACAUUGCCUCGAGGAAAAUUCUUAAUUAAUAGAGAAAGACGUAAUUUAACUAUGCAUGAAUCUGGUAUGCAUGAACUAAUAUUCUGAGCGAUAAUCGGAAAUUCUACUAUUAAUCCUCGUUAAUAGAUUUAACUAACUUCCGUCCAACGCGGUCGAAUAGAGCUGUGAUUCUUCCUUUCCCAUCGGAAUAUUCUAAUUGUAAAAUAGAUCUCGCAUUUGUACUCGAUCGAAAAAUAAAGAACUAACUCGGCUUUAAUCGAGGUGUGAUCUCGUAAAAAUUAUCGGGCUUUUCAAAAUUUAAUAAAUAAUUGAAAACAUUUCACUUGAGUUAAGAACACCAACAAUAUUCUUACUCGUCUUUCUUUAAUAAUUGGAUUUAUAAUUAAAACCAAUUAAAUACUUUUAUUGCAAGUAAAAAUGCAAUUUCAUGUCAUGCUUAGCAUAUAAUAAGUAAUUUACUUAAAAUAUGCACAUAAUAAUAAUACAAUAUUAUUAUUAUGUAAAUCAUCUUUUGAGAAAAAUAAUUAAUUAAACUAAUUAAAUAGUCUAAUUAAUAAGUAUCCAUUUUUCUUUGAACUGCAGCCCAGUUAAAUAAUAAGGUAAUCCAUUUCUUUUAAAAAAAAACAUAAGCCCAAUGUUUCAAUUUAAAUCAGGGCCCAAAGACUUUAAUAAAAUCGGCCCAUAGCCAAAGCCCAAUACCAUUUAAACACAAGCCCAAUCUUUUAAAAGAUAAAGGCCCAAUUAAAAUAAAUGAAGAGGCCCAAAUUAAAUUAAAUAAACUUGGGCCCAAAUGAAAUAAAUUAGAAUUGGCCCAACGAAAUAUAAAUGGAACUAAAAUAAUAGCCCAUAUAAAAUAUGCAUCAGCCCAACUCCUUAAAUUAAUCGAGCCCAACUUAAAAUAAUUCGGUCCACAACAGUUAAAAGUGGACAAGCCUAAAGUCAAUUAAAAGAGGAAGCCCAAUCUAAAUAAAUGGAAAGCCCAAAUAUUAAAAAAAAUCGAGCCCAAAUAUAAAAAAAUUUCGAGCCCAAUGUAAUGGCCUAACAGUUCAACUCAAAGCCCAUCCCCAACCCUUCUUUUCUCCCCCCUAUCAGUCGCUAACCCCAUUUCAUCUCUCUUUCUCUCAUCUCACGGACACACUGAAACAAGCGGCGCCUCUCCCUUCUUCUUCGGCGAAACGCCGCCUCCGUCUCCGGCCGGCGUCGACUGCCGCCGCGCCUAAGCCCGGCGUUCUCCUCCCUCUCGAUCUCGUCUCUCUUUUUUCUCCAAGAUAGCAGCGCCGCCUUCUUCCUUGGCUGUUCACCGGCGUUGUUCUCUCUCUUCAUCGCAGACCCAAAAACGAGCCAUGAAAUCUGGAAUGUCGCUGCUGCCGACUGGAGUUGCUGCUCUUGACCUUGCUCUCUGUUUCUCUACUCCCAAGUCAUCUCCCCCUCUCAAUCUAUGGAGCGGAGGAAAAUCUUUACUCCUAAUUCAGAAAUCGCCUCAGCUCGACGCCGCUCUACUAUGAAAUUCCGGCGAGCAGGAGAGUGUCCGACGCCCUCAUCGAUUCUCCGAUGAGUAGUAAAUCAGGGUAGGGCGGCGUCCGCUGCUCCCCUCUUUCACUCGCGUACACGAACAAGGGAAAGGCCGAGUUCUCGGUCCUCUUAGCUCAGGCGAGAGAGUCACCGCCGUGGUUCGACGCCGUUGCGUCUCCCUGGCCCCCUUCCUCUUCCGUGCGGUUAGCGUCGAGGUCAAGCCGUCAUCUAUCCCCGUUUAAAUGAAACAGGUACCCGAAUAAGCCUCCCUCCCCUUCUAAAUGCUAAGUUCAAUAUUUAAGUAUAUGUGAAGUCUUGGUUUUUGCUACUGAUUUGUGAGAGUUUUCUCAUUGCCUUUAUCUCAAGUGGAGAAAUAUAUAUGUAAUAUUUGAUUUCUGUAUUAUGCUUAGUCCCCUUAAGCAUAUAAUCAUUUGUAUACUGAACGUGUGACUUGUUGGCUCCAAAAGCAUAUAUACCCAUUUACACUUCUAUAUUCCUACUCAAACAUGUGUCUGAUGGUAUGAUGAGAAGAUAGCUGAAAUGCAUUGUAUAGUAUUUACCUGCUAUGCUUGGUGUUCGUUAGCUGUUUGUUG
This 3127-nucleotide long non-coding RNA is filed under the name Salvia miltiorrhiza (redroot sage). Its description in RNAcentral is "long non-coding RNA (SMIL_LNC002754)". Lineage: Eukaryota; Viridiplantae; Streptophyta; Magnoliopsida; Lamiales; Lamiaceae. The record is from RNAcentral.